GAUGAAGAACGUAGCGAAAUGCGAUAAGUAAUGUGAAUUGCAGAAUUUAGUGAAUCAUCGAAUCUUUGAACGCACAUUGCGCCCUAUGGUAUUCCGUAGGGCAUGCCUGUUCGAGCGUCAUUACACACCUCAAGCUCUGCUUGGUAUUGGGCGUCGUCCCCUAAACGGGACGUGCCUCAAAGACCUCGGCGGUGGCGUCUUUGCCUCAAGCGUAGUAAUCUUUUUAUCUCGCUUUGGAGUCGAAGGCGUCGCCCGCCGGACGAAACCUUUAUUUUUCUAUCAAGGUUGACCUCGGAUCAGGUAGGGAUACCCGCUGAACUUAAGCAUAUCAAUAAGCGGAGGA
This 343-nucleotide unclassified non-coding RNA is filed under the name soil metagenome. RNAcentral describes it as "partial contains 5.8S ribosomal RNA, internal transcribed spacer 2, and large subunit ribosomal RNA". The stretch from base 1 to 120 matches the Rfam family "5.8S ribosomal RNA", at positions 35 to 154 of the family's 154-position model. The record is from RNAcentral.